Molecule: unclassified non-coding RNA, 685 nt
Filed under: Daucus crinitus
Lineage: Eukaryota; Viridiplantae; Streptophyta; Magnoliopsida; Apiales; Apiaceae
Description: sequence contains ITS1, 5.8S rRNA gene, ITS2
Source: RNAcentral
AUAUGCUUAAACUCAGCGGGUAGUCCCGCCUGACCUGGGGUCACAAUCGAAGUGCACACAUUCUUGUAGUGCCUAAGGGCCCACGAGUUCCCUACUAUGGUAGGCAUACACAACAACACGAGAAGGUCUUCUUACAACCACCGAUGUCAUGAUGCCCAUCAUCAGAGACUCAUUUUUGAGCCAACCGCACACAAAAGGAACGGGAGGCCAAUUUUCGCCCCUAAACAAAAUAAAUCUCCGAAGGGGAGGAUUGUUCAGGGGCAACACGAUGCGUGACACCCAGGCAGACGUGCCCUGGGCCUAAUGGCUUCGGGCGCAACUUGCGUUCAAAGACUCGAUGGUUCACGGGAUUCUGCAAUUCACACCAAGUAUCGCAUUUCGCUACGUUCUUCAUCGAUGCGAGAGCCGGGAUAUCCGUUGCCGAGAGUCAUUUUGUGAUUUAGACUGCCGCCACUUCCCGCGAACGAGAUGCGGACGAACAAUUCAUUAUUUACUUCCUUGGCGCAUUUGGCGCCCAGUUGAUUUUGUUAGGCUGGCGACACCCAUAAGGGGACACCUGCCUUGGGUUUGCCGACUGCAGACCAAAGGCCCUCAGUUGCAUGCCCAGUGUUUCUACAUGUUAACAGGUCAUUCUAGUAUCGCAGGAUUCGACAAUGAUCCUUCCGCAGGUUCACCUACGGAAACC